RNAcentral lists this long non-coding RNA (947 nucleotides) under Gallus gallus (chicken). RNAcentral's name for it is "lncRNA (ENSGALG00010011105.1)". The record is from RNAcentral. Lineage: Eukaryota; Metazoa; Chordata; Aves; Galliformes; Phasianidae.
CUCCUUCAAACAAGAAGGCUCUCAAGGCUGCAGCAAGCAAACUUUGCACAGGCUAGUCGUGUCAACUCACUGCCUCCAUCUGACUGCAGAGGGAGAGUCUCAAAUCUCAGUUCUGUUUUUUCUUUUUUCUGUUUUUAGGUUUCACUGUAUUCAGACGUAAAGAGAUGGAGAAUUACCUUCAUGAAUUAAACAACAUCUUUGUCUUCAGAGUAAGCUGUUGCUCGGAAGAGAAGGAUGGGGGAAAAAUGGAAAGAGAUCUCUGAGCAUUUAGAAGACGUGUUUCCUGUGUAGCAGCAGACCAGGCAAUGCAUCCCAGCACUGAUGACACAGGCAAAACCUCAAAUUUCAUCUUGAUGGCUGUUGCUGAUGCACCAGGAUCAAUGGAAUCUACAUUAAAGCUGCUCUCCUUGCUGAUAAGUUGCUCCCCUGGCCAGUACUGAUGUCAGUUAAUUGUACUGAAUUGUUAAAGACAGCAGAAAUUCAACCUUGUUAUUCUUUUUCUCCCGAAGCUCUUUCAUCUCCCAACUCCACUGCUCAUUCCUGGAGCCCAGCAGCAGUGGAAGGAAGCAAUUUUCUUUUGGCUGUGGGGAUGGGAAAUCGCUUUUGCACUUCCAAAAUGCCUUUUAUUCCUGCAGGGCCAUCUCUCUAUCAGGAUCCACAUUCACUGUUGCUCAGUACCUCUGCUCACAGCUCCCUUCUUUUUUUGUUUUGCUGCAGCCCCAACAGUUUGGUCACACUGGUGGCUCCUCUGCAGGGAAAAGGAAUCUUACUGUUUGCUGCAGUUGUCCCCCUUUGCCCCCGUCUUAAAGGAGGGAUUUGUUUGCUCCCUUUGGAGAUCUGACAUCCCAGCCUGUUCAGUGAACCCACCCAGCUGAGGUUGGAUCAGCCUGAGAAUUUCUUCAGGAACAGCCAGAACUUGCUGUCAAACCAUAUCUAACUCUGUCAAG